GUCCACGCCCUAAACGAUGUCAACUGGUUGUUGGACGGCUUGCUGUUCAGUAACGAAGCUAACGCGUGAAGUUGACCGCCUGGGGAGUACGGCCGCAAGGUUGAAACUCAAAGGAAUUGACGGGACCCGCACAAGCGGUGGAUGAUGUGGUUUAAUUCGAUGCAACGCGAAACCUUACCUACCCUUGACAUGUCAGGAAUCUUGCAGAGAUGCGAGAGUGCUCGAAAGAGAGCAUGGACACAGGUGCUGCAUGGCCGUCGU
This 261-nucleotide ribosomal RNA is filed under the name uncultured bacterium. RNAcentral's name for it is "partial 16S ribosomal RNA". It matches the Rfam family "Bacterial small subunit ribosomal RNA", at positions 793 to 1055 of the family's 1533-position model. The record is from RNAcentral.